AAAGAUUAAGCCAUGCAUGUCUAAGUAUAAGCAAUUAUACAGCGAAACUGCGAAUGGCUCAUUAUAUAAGUUAUCGUUUAUUUGAUAGUACCUUACCACUUGGAUAACCGUGGUAAUUCUAGAGCUAAUACAUGCUAAAAAUCCCGACUUCGGAAGGGAUGUAUUUAUUAGAUUAAAAACCAAUGCCCUUCGGGGCUCACUGGUGAUUCAUGAUAACUCCUCGAAUCGCAUGGCCUUGUGCCGGCGAUGGUUCAUUCAAAUUUCUUCCCUAUCAACUUUCGAUGUUUGGGUAUUGGCCAAACAUGGUUG
This 309-nucleotide ribosomal RNA is filed under the name uncultured fungus. RNAcentral's name for it is "SSU rRNA". It matches the Rfam family "Eukaryotic small subunit ribosomal RNA", at positions 39 to 352 of the family's 1831-position model. Lineage: Eukaryota; Fungi. The record is from RNAcentral.